ACGGGUGAGUAACACGUAUGGAACCUGCCCGCAGCAGGGGGAUAAGCGGAAGAAAUUCCGUCUAAUACCGCGUAACAACGUUGGGAGGCAUCUCCCGAUGUUUAAAGAUUUAUCGGCUGCGGAUGGCCAUGCGGCGCAUUAGCUAGUCGGCGGGGUAACGGCCCACCGAGGCGACGAUGCGUAGGGGUUCUGAGAGGAAGGUCCCCCACACUGGUACUGAGACACGGACCAGACUCCUACGGGAGGCAGCAGUGAGGAAUAUUGGUCAAUGGCCGAGAGGCUGAACCAGCCAAGUCGCGUGAGGGAAGACGGCCCUACGGGUUGUAAACCUCUUUUGUCGGGGAGCAAAGAGAGCCACGUGUGGUUCAUUGAGAGUACCCGAAGAAAAAGCAUCGGCUAACUCCGUGCCAGCAGCCGCGGUAAUACGGAGGAUGCGAGCGUUAUCCGGAUUUAUUGGGUUUAAAGGGUGCGCAGGCGGAGGUGCAAGUCAGCGGUCAAAUUGCGGGGCUCAACCCCGUACUGCCGUUGAAACUGCAUCCCUUGAGUGCGCGAGAAGUAUGCGGAAUGCGUGGUGUAGCGGUGAAAUGCAUAGAUAUCACGCAGAACUCCGAUUGCGAAGGCAGCAUACCGGCGCGCAACUGACGCUCAUGCACGAAAGCGUGGGUAUCGAACAGGAUUAGAUACCCUGGUAGU
Molecule: ribosomal RNA, 693 nt
Filed under: uncultured bacterium
Lineage: Bacteria
Description: bacterial SSU rRNA
Rfam family: Bacterial small subunit ribosomal RNA
Source: RNAcentral